Dreissena polymorpha is the source of this 202-nucleotide long non-coding RNA. RefSeq lists it as uncharacterized. Lineage: Eukaryota; Metazoa; Mollusca; Bivalvia; Myida; Dreissenidae. The transcript has 3 exons. The record is from RefSeq and is a predicted model, not a curated record.
GGUUGAUAGACCAUCACAAGUUCAUCCAAUGUUUGUGAUCAUGAAAGACCCAAAGUCAUUACCUAAUUGUGUUCAGAUAAUGGACACUAUAUUAGGAACCAUAGAGUCAUUAUAUACAUCUGCUGGGAGAGGUGAUGAGUUUAACAACAUGGCCAGUAUUCCCCUGGGUGGUGAUCAGCUGACACGGGUAACAUUUGAUUCG